This 420-nucleotide ribosomal RNA is filed under the name bacterium. RNAcentral describes it as "partial 16S ribosomal RNA". It matches the Rfam family "Bacterial small subunit ribosomal RNA", at positions 355 to 776 of the family's 1533-position model. The record is from RNAcentral.
UGGGGGAUAUUGCACAAUGGGCGAAAGCCUGAUGCAGCGACGCCGCGUGGGGGAUGAAGGCUUUCGGGUUGUAAACCUCUUUCGCUAUCGAACAAGGCCCGCUUAGGGUGGGUUGAGGGUAGGUGGAGAAGAAGCGCCGGCUAACUACGUGCCAGCAGCCGCGGUAAUACGUAGGGCGCGAGCGUUGUCCGGAAUUAUUGGGCGUAAAGGGCUUGUAGGCGGCUUGUUGCGCCUGCUGUGAAAACGCGGGGCUUAACUUCGCGCGUGCAGUGGGUACGGGCAGGCUUGAGUGUGGUAGGGGUGACUGGAAUUCCAGGUGUAGCGGUGGAAUGCGCAGAUAUCUGGAGGAACACCGAUGGCGAAGGAAGGUCACUGGGCCAUUACUGACGCUGAGGAGCGAAAGCAUGGGUAGCGAACAGG